Molecule: small RNA, 134 nt
Filed under: Salmonella enterica subsp. enterica serovar Rubislaw
Lineage: Bacteria; Pseudomonadati; Pseudomonadota; Gammaproteobacteria; Enterobacterales; Enterobacteriaceae
Also listed under: 10 other names
Description: RtT sRNA
Rfam family: RtT RNA
About the family: This family represents a bacterial cis-regulatory element known as RtT RNA. The exact function of RtT is unknown although it is thought that it may be involved in changing the cellular response in relation to amino acid starvation.
Source: RNAcentral
UGUAUCGGAAGCCUGACGAGGAUGAGAACCUCCGGGGGCAAGAGGUUCGACUCGAGCGAAGCGAGAGAACGUUGCGUCAGCAACGGCCCGCAGGGCGAGCCACGCAGUGGCGAGUCAUCCUCUAUCACCGACCA